GGGAUACUAGCUCAGUUGGUAGAGCACUUGACUUUUAAUCAAGUUGUCGGGGGUUCGAAUCCCCCGUGUCUCACUA
This 76-nucleotide transfer RNA is filed under the name Roseburia sp. CAG:18_43_25. Its description in RNAcentral is "tRNA-Lys". It matches the Rfam family "tRNA". From Rfam's summary of the family: Transfer RNA (tRNA) molecules are approximately 80 nucleotides in length. Their secondary structure includes four short double-helical elements and three loops (D, anti-codon, and T loops). Further hydrogen bonds mediate the characteristic L-shaped molecular structure. tRNAs have two regions of fundamental functional importance: the anti-codon, which is responsible for specific mRNA codon recognition, and the 3' end, to which the tRNAs corresponding amino acid is attached (by aminoacyl-tRNA synthetases). tRNAs cope with the degeneracy of the genetic code in two manners: having more than one tRNA (with a specific anti-codon) for a particular amino acid; and 'wobble' base-pairing, i.e. permitting non-standard base-pairing at the 3rd anti-codon position. The record is from RNAcentral. RNAcentral also lists the same sequence under 1 other name. Lineage: Bacteria; Bacillati; Bacillota; Clostridia; Lachnospirales; Lachnospiraceae.